This 431-nucleotide ribosomal RNA is filed under the name uncultured bacterium. Its description in RNAcentral is "partial 16S ribosomal RNA". It matches the Rfam family "Bacterial small subunit ribosomal RNA", at positions 29 to 505 of the family's 1533-position model. The record is from RNAcentral.
AACGAACGCUGGCGGCAUGCCUAACACAUGCAAGUCGAACGAGACCUUCGGGUCUAGUGGCGCACGGGUGCGUAACGCGUGGGAACCUGCCCUUAGGUUCGGAAUAACUCCCCGAAAGGGGUGCUAAUACCGGAUAAUGUCUUCGGACCAAAGAUUUAUCGCCUUUGGAUGGGCCCGCGUUGGAUUAGCUAGUUGGUAGGGUAAAAGCCUACCAAGGCGACGAUCCAUAGCUGGUCUGAGAGGAUGAUCAGCCACACUGGGACUGAGACACGGCCCAGACUCCUACGGGAGGCAACAGUGGGGAAUAUUGGACAAUGGGCGAAAGCCUGAUCCAGCAAUGCCGCGUGAGUGAUGAAGGCCUUAGGGUUGUAAAGCUCUUUUACCCGGGAUGAUAAUGACAGUACCGGGAGAAUAAGCUCCGGCUAACUCCG